GACGAACGCUGGCGGCGUGCCUAAUACAUGCAAGUUGAGCGAUGAAGAUUGGUGCUUGCACCAAUUUGAAGAGCAGCGAACGGGUGAGUAACGCGUGGGGAAUCUGCCUUUGAGCGGGGGACAACAUUUGGAAACGAAUGCUAAUACCGCAUAAUAACUUUAAACAUAAGUUUUAAGUUUGAAAGAUGCAAUUGCAUCACUCAAAGAUGAUCCCGCGUUGUAUUAGCUAGUUGGUGAGGUAAAGGCUCACCAAGGCGAUGAUACAUAGCCGACCUGAGAGGGUGAUAGGCCAAAUUGGGACUGGAACACGGCCCAAACUCCUACGGGAGGCAGCAGUAGGGGAUCUUCGGCAAUGGACGAAAGUCUGACCGAGCAACGCCGGGUGAGUGAAGAAGGUUUUCGGGUCGUAAAACUCUGUUGGUAGAGAAGAACGUUGGUGAGAGUGGAAAGCUCAUCAAGUGACGGUAACUACCCAGAAAGGGACGGCUAACUACGUG
This 497-nucleotide ribosomal RNA is filed under the name uncultured bacterium. RNAcentral's name for it is "partial 16S ribosomal RNA". It matches the Rfam family "Bacterial small subunit ribosomal RNA", at positions 28 to 507 of the family's 1533-position model. The record is from RNAcentral.